RNAcentral lists this ribosomal RNA (433 nucleotides) under uncultured bacterium. RNAcentral describes it as "partial 16S ribosomal RNA". It matches the Rfam family "Bacterial small subunit ribosomal RNA", at positions 29 to 507 of the family's 1533-position model. The record is from RNAcentral.
AACGAACGCUGGCGGCAUGCUUAACACAUGCAAGUCGAACGGGACGUUCGGGCCUAGUGGCGCACGUGUGCGUAACGAGUGGGAACCUGCCCUUAGGUUAGCUAUAACUCCCCGUAAGGGAUGUUAAUAAAGGAUAAUGUAAUAGGAGCAAAGAUUUAUUGCCUUUGGAUGGGCGCGCGUUGGAUUAGCUGGUUGGUAGUGUAAUAGCCUACCAAGGCGACGAUGCAUAGCUGGUCUGAGAGGAUGAUCAGCCACGCUGGGACUGAGGCACGGCCCAGAAUCCGACGCGAGGGAGCAGUGGAGUAUAUUGGAGGAUGGGCGAAAGCGUGGUCCAGCAACGCCGCGGAAGUGGGGAAGGCCGUAGGGUUGUAAAUCUCUUUUACCCGGGAUGAGAGUGACGGUACCGGGAAAAUAAGCACCGGCUAACUCCGUG